Molecule: transfer RNA, 69 nt
Filed under: Halomonas elongata
Lineage: Bacteria; Pseudomonadati; Pseudomonadota; Gammaproteobacteria; Oceanospirillales; Halomonadaceae
Description: tRNA-OTHER
Rfam family: tRNA
About the family: Transfer RNA (tRNA) molecules are approximately 80 nucleotides in length. Their secondary structure includes four short double-helical elements and three loops (D, anti-codon, and T loops). Further hydrogen bonds mediate the characteristic L-shaped molecular structure. tRNAs have two regions of fundamental functional importance: the anti-codon, which is responsible for specific mRNA codon recognition, and the 3' end, to which the tRNAs corresponding amino acid is attached (by aminoacyl-tRNA synthetases). tRNAs cope with the degeneracy of the genetic code in two manners: having more than one tRNA (with a specific anti-codon) for a particular amino acid; and 'wobble' base-pairing, i.e. permitting non-standard base-pairing at the 3rd anti-codon position.
Source: RNAcentral
GCGGGUAGCUCAGGCUGGUAGAGCGCCAACGUAUACCGGAGGUCGCGGGUUCAAAUCCCGCUCCGCGCA